GCUCUCCAGAGAAGCAGACAACAUUUCACUUCUUCUGAGUUUGUUGUCAGAGGAGGAUUUCUAUGUACGAUAUUACACUCUUCAACUUUUGACAGCUCUUCUCACAAAUUCUCCAAAUAGGUUACAGGAAGCCAUUCUGACCAUACCUCGUGGUAUAACUCGCUUAAUGGAUAUGCUUAUGGAUCGUGAGGUUAUACGAAACGAGGCCUUAUUACUUCUUACUUACUUGACCCGUGAAGCUGAGGAAAUUCAAAAAAUUGUGGUCUUCGAAGGUGCUUUUGAAAAGAUUUUCAGCAUCAUCAAAGAAGAAGGUGGUUCCGAUGGUGGUGUUGUUG
This is a non-coding RNA of Prunus mume (Japanese apricot), 335 nucleotides long. The record is from RefSeq and is a predicted model, not a curated record. NCBI's taxonomy places the organism in Eukaryota, Viridiplantae, Streptophyta, Magnoliopsida, Rosales, Rosaceae.